This 496-nucleotide ribosomal RNA is filed under the name uncultured bacterium. RNAcentral describes it as "partial 16S ribosomal RNA". It matches the Rfam family "Bacterial small subunit ribosomal RNA", at positions 28 to 506 of the family's 1533-position model. The record is from RNAcentral.
GAUGAACGCUGGCGGCGUGCCUAAUACAUGCAAGUCGAGCGAACAGACGAGGAGCUUGCUCCUCUGACGUUAGCGGCGGACGGGUGAGUAACACGUGGAUAACCUACCUAUAAGACUGGGAUAACUUCGGGAAACCGGAGCUAAUACCGGAUAAUAUAUUGAACCGCAUGGUUCAAUAGUGAAAGACGGUUUUGCUGUCACUUAUAGAUGGAUCCGCGCCGCAUUAGCUAGUUGGUAAGGUAACGGCUUACCAAGGCAACGAUGCGUAGCCGACCUGAGAGGGUGAUCGGCCACACGGGAACUGAGACACGGUCCAGACUCCUACGGGAGGCAGCAGUAGGGAAUCUUCCGCAAUGGGCGAAAGCUUGACGGAGCAACGCCGCGUGAGUGAUGAAGGUCUACGGAUCGUAAAACUCUGUUAUUAGGGAAGAACAAAUGUGUAAGUAACUAUGCACGUCUGGACGGUACCUAAUCAGAAAGCCACGGCUAACUACGU